UAGGUGACAAGCGUUGUCCGGAUUUACUGGGUGUAAAGGGCGCGUAGGCGGACUGUCAAGUCAGUCGUGAAAUACCGGAGCUUAACUCCGGAGCUGCGAUUGAAACUGACAGCCUUGAGUAACGGAGAGGAAAGCGGAAUUCCUAGUGUAGCGGUGAAAUGCGUAGAUAUUAGGGGGAACACCAGUGGCGAAGGCCGCUUUCUGGACGACAACUGACGCUGAGGCGCGAAAGUGUGGGGAGCAAA
This 245-nucleotide ribosomal RNA is filed under the name uncultured bacterium. Its description in RNAcentral is "partial 16S ribosomal RNA". It matches the Rfam family "Bacterial small subunit ribosomal RNA", at positions 528 to 772 of the family's 1533-position model. The record is from RNAcentral.